Molecule: long non-coding RNA, 207 nt
Filed under: Lathyrus oleraceus (garden pea)
Lineage: Eukaryota; Viridiplantae; Streptophyta; Magnoliopsida; Fabales; Fabaceae
Description: Pisum sativum (pea) long non-coding RNA (PSAT_LNC015273)
Source: RNAcentral
UAGCAAUUCCUGAAGUGGAGAUAUGGAAAUCAAAUUUUCUCUUCCUUCCACUUAAUUGUGCACAAAACUCAAAGUAUAUUAUUACAACCUUUUCUUAUUUUCCCAAUACUACACCCUAGCCACUUUCACGCUACCUUCUCCAUUCUCUCUCUCAAACUUGUUCUCAGACACCUUCAUCUCUCCAUCUCCUAUCUACCAAAAACCUCC